GCUUACGGCCACAAAGCCUGGUUCACGCACGAUCUCGUUUGAUCUCGGAAGCGAAGAUAGGUUGGGCCUGGUUAGUACUUGGAUGGGAGACCGCCUAGGAAUACCAGGUGCUGUAAGCC
Molecule: ribosomal RNA, 119 nt
Filed under: Scophthalmus maximus (turbot)
Lineage: Eukaryota; Metazoa; Chordata; Actinopteri; Pleuronectiformes; Scophthalmidae
Source: RNAcentral